Molecule: ribosomal RNA, 253 nt
Filed under: uncultured bacterium
Lineage: Bacteria
Description: partial 16S ribosomal RNA
Rfam family: Bacterial small subunit ribosomal RNA
Source: RNAcentral
UACGAAGGGGGCUAGCGUUGCUCGGAGUCACUGGGCGUAAAGCGCACGUAGGCGGCUUACUAAGUCAGGGGUGAAAUCCUGGAGCUCAACUCCAGAACUGCCUUUGAUACUGGUGAGCUUGAGUCCGGAAGAGGUGAGUGGAACUGCGAGUGUAGAGGUGAAAUUCGUAGAUAUUCGCAAGAACACCAGUGGCGAAGGCGGCUCACUGGUCCGGUACUGACGCUGAGGUGCGAAAGCGUGGGGAGCAAACAGG